ACUCGCGCAGGCGCCGUCCGCCCUCGUUGCCAUGGAGACGCUCGUGCUUUCCCGGGCCGCACUUCCCACCCGGGUCUUCAGAAGCCCGUGGCCGCUGGGUGAGCCCCUGCGUGAACGCACACGCACGCACACGGCUUCAGGUUCCCCGCGGCGCUGCGCGCGAUAUCGGCUCGGAUCCCGGGAGGCCGUCCGCCCCUUUUUCAGCGGAUAGCUGAGGCCAGACAAAACGGUCAGAGCCAAAAGAGCGUCUCCCAGCCGCAGAUCAGUGUGAGCGCUGUUCUUCCUUCCGGAAAAGGGUGGAUCCGUGCAUGUGCUGAGGCCAGCCCAGGUACUCACCUUGUCUAGUAAGAAGACGUGCUCGGUCACCAGCCCCUGUAACUCGGGGACGCGGCUCUCGGUUCCUAGGAGCACGUGCUCCACGAAGAGUGCGGUGGAGGAAAUCCGACUCCACUGGGCUCUGUCAAAAGAGGGUGCCGCUCACUCACUCACUCGGCUCCCACCAAGGAACCCAAGGGUGAAACGAGGAGGGAGACGGGAGAAGAGAUGCGGGACCCGGGGUCCAGGCCCAGCGGCUGGGAUUACAAGCAAGCACUAUGUGACACACUUCCUGGCCCGCCCCCAGCUCUCGCCCUCAGACGCUCAGCUUAGCUGGGACUCGGUGUCCCACUGUGAUGCCUCUGCAUGGGGUACCACCACAACCCGCUCACUGCAUGAUCCUGCGCCUGUCAAGUCCCACCUCACCUCGACGGCCCCGCACAGGAACUGUCUCCUUAGGGAAGUGGACUCUGGCCCUGAGGGCCUGUCCUGCUCUGUGCGCCUGCCCGCCCGGGGUGUCCUUUCUACCACUGCAUUUCUCACACGGCAUCACAAUAGCCCGUCUGCCUUUCUACGGCCCCAGUACACAGUGCGCUCCCUGAAUGCACAGCCGCCUCUCGUGUCUCCAGCACCCUAAUGAGACGCCUGGCACUCACUAAGGGUUCGGCAAAUGCGGAGUGAGCGGGUGAGGACGGAGCCCCUCCCAUGGCAGGAGCGCCUGCCCGUCUUCUCAUGGACAUGCCUGGCACUUGGCAGGCUCCUGGUGAGCGCGCGCCAGAUGAAGCAGUGGGUGAGGGCCCCUGGGUCUCACCUGACUUCCCUGAUGACAGCCUGGGCUAGGCUCCCGCUGCCUUGCAUGUGCUCAUCGGAGCAGAUGAGCUCCAGCGGCAUGGAAAGAUUCUUCACCAACUGUAGCCACGCCUGGGGACUGGGCUUCAGGGUGUUUCUUGUCAGCAUCUCCGUGCAGGCCAUUGCGGCAAAUGCGUCCAGGGUCUGGGGAGACGGACAGCAGGGCGUGGCUGAGCGGUGCCCCUCCCACCGGCCCACCAGAGGCCCCGGCUGUUAGCUGCAUGUAUACUUGUGUCCCAGGCUUGCGACCUAAACUUUCAUUGUCUAGGAUGUGAGAAGCGUCAGCGAGAUGUGUUCUUAACAUCUCUGAAUUCAGCUAAGGUAUGUGCCUUGUGAAGAAAUCUCCCACUUGGAACACAGCCCCAGAAGCUCUCCAUUCCCAGAGUGGAGUUGGAAGCACCACAAGGCUUGCUCAGGGCAGGCGGAGGAGGGCCAUACCAUCUCACAUCCAGCCAGAUCAUGGUUCCAACGGGCUUCCAUCAGGCUGUGGAGAACCUGAGGGUAGAUGGUCAGGAUUCUGGAAAAGUUCUGCAGACGGCUUCUGAAACGCUGGUAGGCAAGGUGCACCCACGGUAAGGAAACCUCUUCCUCAGGCGCUUCUGACGCCGCUUUCAGUUUCCUAGUGCAGGACCACAGAGCCAUCUGCAGAAACUGGGAUUCAAAAAAGCUUUUAGAAUAUAUUUUUAAAUUACAAAAAUGGUAUGUUUUCCCCGUGGGAAAUCCGAACUAUUGGAAAACCAUAAAAGAGGAAAUUAGAAACCAUGUGUGCUAUUCUGUCCCGUUUGCUUUUGUCCAGUUUUCUAUCUGCCUCUCCUCCCACGUUAAGGUCACCGUGUCGUCUGGGCUUUUUGCCACUGAACAUGACAUCAUGAACUUUCCCUAUGACUGAGUAUACUUGAAAAACAUGGUUUUAAUGGCUGCUCAAUAACCCAUCAUACGGCCAUACUUUAAUUUGCCCAUCCUGUAUUUCCAGACAAUUAAAUUAUUUCUUAUUUUUCGAAGCAAAGCUGAAAAGGACAUCCCUGUGAACCAAAUAUUUGUCCACGUCUCCAGUAGUUUCCUCAGGACAGAGUCAGCAGUUCAGAUCGGAUAAGGUGCUCAACUGUUCUGCCACGCAGCCCUGCAGGGCGCCCACUGUGCACGCUACACUGUGAGCCGCGUGGCCUGGCUAUUUCUUUGCAGCACUGGCCGGCGGCUGUUGUUUUUAAAAAUCAGCUUUGCAAAAUGAAUACAUAAACAUGAUAUCUAAAAACUGUUGUGUUGAUUUGCUAUUAAUAGUAAGGCUAAGCAAUUUUUCAAAUGUUUCCUGGAUGUUGAUAUGCUUAAUGAGAUUAUAAAAUUGUUGUUUUAUAAUGUUUACCCAUUUUUUAAAACUUACGGUAUUUUCUUAUUGAUUCCUAAGAAUAUUAACCUCUAGUCAUAUUGGCUGUAAGGAUGUUCUUACAUUUGUCACUCUCCUUUUUUAUGUACUGAAGUUUAAAAUUUUUAGGUAGUCAAAAGUAUGACUUUCUAUUGAAUUUCACUUAUUUAUUCUUACCCUGUAGGGUUAGUUACGUAUUUACUUUAAUUUUUUUCAAGAGAAACUUAACAUUUAAAAAGAAGCUAUGUCAAGGAAAUUGGAGGUCUUCUCAUGGUCACAGAAAGCUCCCUGUUUUAGGAGCCCCUGGGCGGUGGGCUGAGGGUGUAGCACUGAAUAUUGAGAGGAGACUGGGCGACCCCUUCACCCACCGGCACCCUUCACUGACCAUGUUCUGUUCCCAGACUUCACAGCACCAGCUCCAGGCAGCUGAGGAAACGUCUCCGUGUCUGCAUCCAGUCCCCAUCAUGCAAGUUCUACACCUGACCCUUAGCCAGUAUCUAAACAUCUACCUUUAAUUCCUCCUCCGUUGACACACGCAUGGUCAAGAGAAUGAAAUCCUUCAAGUAACACUGAAGAAGUUCCUGCUGCGGCUCUCCAUGGAGCUGGGCAAGAAACCUGCCCAGAGGAGUCUGCUGAAAGAUGUCCACGAACUUCUUGGGCAGUCCUGCAGAGAGGAAACCAAGGAGUGGCCUGGAGUGCGUCUAAGUCAUGGCGCUCCCCUGCCUCCAGGGGGCUCCGGAGUGAAGGGGAAUGGGGACGCCUUGUUGAAUGGGAGCUCGUAGACAAAGGGGUACCAACUGCCUGAUUUUGUAGGGAAUUGAAGGAAUAGUCACUGUCUAGACAUUUAGGAUAUUUUUCUUUUUCCUUUUUUUUGGAGAUGGAGUCUUACUCUGUUGCCCAGGCUGGAGUGCGGUGGGUAGCGUGAUCUCUGCUCACUGCAACCUCCGCCUCCCAGGUUCAAGUGAUUCUCCUGCCUCAGCCUACCAAGUAGCUGGGAUUACAGGCGUGCACCACCACACCCAGCUAAUUUUUUGUAUUUUUAGUAGAGACGGGGUUUCACCAUGUUGGUCAGGCUGGUCUCGAACUCCUGACCUCAGGUGAUCUGCCGGCCUUGGCCUCCCAAGGUGUUGUGAACCACUGCGCCUGGCCUAGGAUAUUUUUCCAGUGGAAUAAAAUAAAGGAAGGCGGAAACAGUGUCAAAUUUAGGUCAGAAACAGCCAAGCUAGCCCCAAAGAGAAACAUCUAGAUAAGACUGAGUUGUAUGUUGCAUGGCUACAGGUCACAGCAUGCUUCAGGAACCCCCGGGUCCAAGUAAAUUAGGAACAAGUGGGCUGCUCUUCAGGGGCUGGGGGUCACAGAGCAUGCAAGCCAGAAAGAUCUGGCUUCUAGUGGGCGGAGUGCAGCCCCUAAUUCGCAUGCUGUCAUAGAAAAGCAGGGUCAGUUGGGGUAUUGUCCUGAGAAAGGAAUAUGCUCAUGAGGAGAGAGACUGCUUUGAGUAUGUUCAGAAAAAGUGGCAGAAUGGUAACCUAGAAAAGAAGGCCACCCUGAGUCUUCCAAAUGGUACGAUAAGUAAACGUGGAAAAGACUAUUGCAUGUAUGAAAGAUGGCUUUUGUAAAAGUGUUGCGUUGUCGUUGGUUUUUCUGGACUAGGGCAAAUCUUCUGGCAUCUGGCAGCAGAGCUCAGCACUGUGUCUGGGCUGUGACUCGGGAGACACAGCUGGGAGGUGCCUCCUGAUGGGGCACCUGGGAGUAGGGGAUGCUCCAGGCGCUCGUGCCUUCUGAGAACGCCUCUCCUGGGGGCACCUUCCGAGUCCAGUGCCCCAGUCUGAGAAGGCCCAGAAUGGGAAUGACCAGCUGGUAGAGGCGACAGUCCUCGUCUUGCCAGAACACACCCCAUUUCGCCAUAUCCCUGGCCAUCACGGCACUAAAAACCAUCUCACAGGCUCCUGCUGCCAUAGGAUCGAAAGGUUUCUGGUCCCGCCGGGGCCUCUCACUCCUUCAGCAGAAACUUUAAAAUGACGCGGUGACGUCAAUUGGACGCUUACUGCACAAAGUGUGAAAACUAAAAACUCCAAAAUUCACCUUGCAAUUCUAGCCACCCGUCUGCUUUUCACUGUCAGGCAAUCCCUUUGUGAUUCACCUGUGCUGGAUCUGACCUGUCUUGAGGUGGCCUCACCUUCUGCGUCCGUGAUGUACUGAGCCUGGAGCCACAGCUCCUCCAGAUAGUCCUUGAUUCUCCAGCUGAAAGGGACACUGUUGGAAGCGCUCUCGGAAAGGUUCAUGUAGUUCUGCACCACGAUGUAGGCCAUCUCACCUUUAUGUCUGCAAUAAGGUGAGGAAUGAUAAGAAGAGGGUUUGUGAGACGUCACUCAAAACACAAGACAAGAUCUGCCACUGAUGCCAGCUCCUCUCAGACCUCAAAAACAAAGGGGCCAACAGGCCAGGCAGACAGCGCUGAUCUAUUUCACAGUACAGGGUUUCUGUUAUGGCAGAACUAGGGAACUAUCUUAUGCAAUCUUUGUUUCACAGGCAAAACAAAAACAAACCAAGGCUGACAGGGGUCAAGUGUGUUGCCCAAAAUGUCGGGCAGAACCAAGCCUUCUGGUUCCUGAACCUGUCUGGCUUUGAUAACUUGUAACACAGAGCACAACUUGUUAGAGAGUCUUUGCUUCAUGAACAUCAGCAGCGCCUUGUCUUUUAAAUAAGUGUUUCCACUGGCAAUUCAAAUUCCUUUACUUUCUUUCUCUCUUUCUCUCGCUCUUUCUUUCUCUUUCUUCCUUCUGUCUCCCUCCCUCUCUCACUCUUUAUUUUCUUUAUUUUUUUUUUUUUGAGAUAGAGUCUCACUGUGUCACCCAGGCUAGAGUGCAGUGAGUGGUGUGAUCCUAUCUCACCUCAAACUCCUGGGCUCAAGCAAUCCUCCCACCUCAGCUUCUACAGUAGCUGGGACUACAGGUGCGCACCACGUUAUGCCUAAUUUUUAAAUUUUUUGUAGUGAUGGGGUCUCACUAUGUUGCCCAAGCUGGUCUUCAACCCCUGGGUUCAAGAAACUUUCCUGCCUCAGCCUACUAAAUUGCUGGGGUUAUAGGCAUGAGCCACCCAGCCUGGGCACAUUUAUUUCUAUAUUCUUUAUAAAUCUACAUCCAGAAUUGAAGCCCCUGAAAGCUGAAGUGGAAGCUAUUGGGAGCUGAGCCUGAGCCCCACAUCAUCAGGCCUGCGGAAGGGGGUGGGGGCUGUGCAGCUCCACCAGGGAAUGAGGGACAGGGGGAGGGAGCACAGAUCCCAGGGGUAAGGAGCACAGAUUGUGGGGCUGUUCUAAGCUCACCGUCUCCGUGUCACGCCACGCUGGGUCUGGCUAAAACCAGUGCUCUGAAGGCAGGGAAAUGAGGAGGGUGGAGAUAAAACAGAAAUUUCUUGGAGCUUCGUAAACUUCCUAUUCUUUUUUUUUUUGAGACAGAGUCUUGCUCUGUCACCAGGCUGGAGUGCAGUGGCGCGAUCUCGGCUCACUGCAACCUCCGCCUCCCAGGUUCAAGCAAUUCUCCUGCCUCAGCCUCCCAAACAGCUGGGAAUACAGGCACGCACCACCACGCCCAGCUAAUUUUUGUAUUUUUAGUAGAGACUGGGUUUCACCACGUUGGCCAGGACGGUCUUGAUCUCUUGACCUCAUGAUCCACCUGCCUCGGCCUCCCAAAGUGCUGGGAUUACAGGCGUGAGCUACCAUGCCCGGCCAAACUUCCUAUUGUUACUGCAGAAAGCACCCACGUCAACGUUGCUCUGAAGUUGAGGGCUGCAUUUCACCCAGCACUUGGGAGAGCAUAUUAGGGUGCUGCUGUGUUCUGAUAGUUUCUCUCCCCAGGGAAAGAAAGCCUUCCACUCACCUUUCAUUAUUCAUCACAAGAGGAAUGUUCAGAAGCAUCGUGUCACUGAAAAUAAACAUCCAAAGAUCUCUUGCCCAGGGCGGAGUAUCUGGCCUGGUCAGUAACUCUAGGUUGCCGUCUCUGUCGAUGAAUGAUAUCAUGCUCGCCAGCAGAGGGGUGACAGCACCUUGGACCCGCUUCCAGAGGGUGUGCCUGCAGCACAGAAGAGAGACGGGCCACCACAGGUCAGAGGAACCAGAGUGGCCAUCUGCCACCUUUUGACAUUUUGUUCCUUCUUGAGCAUUAACAAAACAACUAGUCUACUAUUUACCACACUACAGCGACGGCAAUAACUUGACAUUUCCAUCAUUUUUAAGUCCUAGAAAACAGACUCACAAAGAUGUCUAAGAUUAGAGAUGGAACUGGAAUGGAACUUAAUUCUACAUCUAAUAAACUGUCAUUAGGUUACUGGAA
Gorilla gorilla gorilla (western lowland gorilla) is the source of this 6852-nucleotide long non-coding RNA. RefSeq lists it as uncharacterized. The transcript has 2 exons. The record is from RefSeq and is a predicted model, not a curated record. NCBI's taxonomy places the organism in Eukaryota, Metazoa, Chordata, Mammalia, Primates, Hominidae.